AACGCAGCUAACAGACACUGAAUAAACCAGCCCAUCCCCGGCGGGAUCAGGAGUUGCUUGCCCCAUAUGCUGUCCCCAGGCUGCAGCCGCCUGAGGGGACUCGCCCGGGGCCCGCCCUCAGAGCUCACACCCGCCGUGCGCUCUCGCCCCGGGGCCGCCCCGCCGAUCCUCCCCCGCGGCUCUGCGCGCACAGGCCGGACGCUCGGAGCCGGCGCCGGACCCCCCUGCUCGGCCUCCUGGGCGCACCAGCGGCCUCCGCGCAGGCUCCGUGCCCGCGCACGCGCCCUCGCGUCGCGCUCCUGGAGGAGAGACCUGCGCUCGGGCCGGGCUCCGGGCGGUUCUCGAGCUGCAGUUCCAACGGGACUUCCGCGGCCUUUUGGACGAGCCGCCGCGCCCAGAGAUGUUCAGGUUGGAGCGACACUUCCCAGAGGGCAGCGGUCACUCCAGAUCUUCGGCUUCCAUUUCCGUUUUCGCGCGGUUCUCCCUCUUUGCAGGGCCAUGAGCUCUAGAUUCUCUUUGUUCUUUCCCAGUAGAGGAAUCCCAAGGAGGACUGAUCUGUUUUGGCAGGUGCAAAACCAUGGAGUGAAAUCAUACAGUAUUUCUUUCUCCGUCUGACUGUUUUUGCUCAAGAUCCAUCCAUCUUGUCUCACAUGGGAUGAGUUUGUCUGUUUUUAUGGG
This 678-nucleotide long non-coding RNA is filed under the name Equus asinus (donkey). Its description in RNAcentral is "lncRNA (ENSEASG00005028333.1)". The record is from RNAcentral. Lineage: Eukaryota; Metazoa; Chordata; Mammalia; Perissodactyla; Equidae.